This 117-nucleotide transfer RNA is filed under the name Nitrosospira multiformis. RNAcentral describes it as "tRNA-Ser". The record is from RNAcentral. Lineage: Bacteria; Pseudomonadati; Pseudomonadota; Betaproteobacteria; Nitrosomonadales; Nitrosomonadaceae.
GUGACUGAAAAUAUGAAAAAACAGUGAUUUUCUGAAUGGCGAUCAACACAGAAAAAUACCGUUUUAGGCGGAUUGUGAUUCCGGUUGUCGUGGGUUCGAUCCCCAUCAGCCACCCCA